UUGGAGGGCAAGUCUGGUGCCAGCAGCCGCGGUAAUUCCAGCUCCAAUAGCGUAUAUUAAAGUUGUUGCAGUUAAAAAGCUCGUAGUUGAAUUUCGGGGUCAGUAGGUUGGUCAUGCCACAGGUAUGUACUGGUCUCACUGAUUCCUCCUUCCUGAUGAACUGUAAUGCCAUUAAUUUGGUGUUGCAGGGAAUCUGGACUGUUACUUUGAAAAAAUUAGAGUGUUUAAAGCAGGCUAACGCCUGAAUACAUUAGCAUGGAAUAAUGAAAUAGGACGUUCGAUCCUAUUUUGUUGGUUUCUAGGAUUGACGUAAUGAUUAAUAGGGAUAGUUGGGGGCAUUAGUAUUCAAUUGUCAGAGGUGAAAUUCUUGGAUUUAUUGAAGACUAACUACUGCGAAAGCAUUUGCCAAGGAUGUUUUCAUUAAUCAAGAACGAAAGUUAGGGGAUCGAAGACGAUCAGAUACCGUCGUAGUCUUAACCAUAAACUAUGCCGACUAGGGAUCGGACGAAGUUAAUUUUAUAAUGACGCGUUCGGCGCCUUACGGGAAAC
This 549-nucleotide ribosomal RNA is filed under the name uncultured Rhizophagus. RNAcentral describes it as "SSU rRNA". It matches the Rfam family "Eukaryotic small subunit ribosomal RNA", at positions 548 to 1098 of the family's 1831-position model. The record is from RNAcentral. Lineage: Eukaryota; Fungi; Glomeromycota; Glomeromycetes; Glomerales; Glomeraceae.